Molecule: long non-coding RNA, 725 nt
Filed under: Setaria viridis
Lineage: Eukaryota; Viridiplantae; Streptophyta; Magnoliopsida; Poales; Poaceae
Description: long non-coding RNA (SVIR_LNC008824)
Source: RNAcentral
GAUAAUGAAGACAUAUGGUACCUGUGAAAUUGAAGACAGUGUCGCCAUUGCCAAUCUGAAGCGUCUUGAUGGGUGAAGCUUGACAGUGGCGGAGAACGAUGGAGAAAUCACCAGGCGCAGGAAGGGGGAUUAGUUUUGACUAUGGUGGCUAACUGCUGUUGUGAAGAAGACAAAUGCGAUGAAGAAAUUAUAUAACAAUUGCCGCAGGGUAAAUCUCAGGAAAUAAGGAGGGUGUGAUCAAAAACUCCAGAGAGAAAAGAUUAUGAUUGAGGCAACGACUCUUUUAGAAAGGUGUUGGUCGGGACCUGUGAAGGUGCUAACAAGGGAAGAGAAUUUUGGAAUAUAAUAUUAUAUUCCAGAAUUAGGGGGCAUGUGUUGAUACUAGUUUCUGACCAGAGUCAACCAAAAAAAUAAGGUUCUAACAGCUGAUGGAGGAGAGAGAAAGGAUCUAUUGACGGCUUGAUGUUGACCAAGGCCCACCACGAGCGACCGGGUUCUAGAAGUCGAUAAAAGAUCGGAAAAGGACCCAAUCUGAAGCAGAAUCAACUCUAUCAAAUAAGGGAAAGCGUGGAGAUUUAUCUUUAGUAGUUUUUAGAUUUGUUGUAAUAGUUCAUGUCAUAAUCGACUAGGAUUUUAGCUUACUCCAGAGUAUAAAUAUAAACCCAUGAGCCUUGUAACGAAUAAUCAUCAAUCAAUCAAUACAACCUUUCGGUGCCACACCCCCA